CAAUAGCGUAUAUUAAAGUUGUUGCAGUUAAAAAGCUCGUAGUUGGAUUUCGGAGUGGGUCAGUUGGUCCGCCGCAAGGUGAGUUACUGGCUGGUCUGCUCUUCUUCGCAAAGACUGCGUAUCCUCUUUAUUGAGCGUGCGUAGGAUUUACGACGUUUACUUUGAAAAAAUUAGAGUGUUCAAAGCAGGCUAUCGCUUGAAUACAUGAGCAUGGAAUAAUGGAAUAGGACUUUGGUCUUAUUUUAUUGGUUUCCGAGACCGAAGUAAUGAUUAAUAGGGACAGUUGGGGGUAUUCGUAUUCCAUUGUCAGAGGUGAAAUUCUUGGAUUUUUGGAAGACGAACUACUGCGAAAGCAUUUACCAAGGAUGUUUUCAUUAA
RNAcentral lists this ribosomal RNA (378 nucleotides) under uncultured eukaryote. Its description in RNAcentral is "partial 18S ribosomal RNA". It matches the Rfam family "Eukaryotic small subunit ribosomal RNA", at positions 592 to 976 of the family's 1831-position model. The record is from RNAcentral.